AUCCAGCUGACGGAAAGUCCCAAAUAGGACGAAAUGCACAUCAAGCUGGAU
RNAcentral lists this non-coding RNA (51 nucleotides) under Trichobilharzia regenti. Lineage: Eukaryota; Metazoa; Platyhelminthes; Trematoda; Strigeidida; Schistosomatidae. The record is from RNAcentral.